GACGAACGCUGGCGGCGUGCCUAAUACAUGCAAGUUGAGCGAUGAAGAUUGGUGCUUGCACCAAUUUGAAGAGCAGCGAACGGGUGAGUAACGCGUGGGGAAUCUGCCUUUGAGCGGGGGACAACAUUUGGAAACGAAUGCUAAUACCGCAUAACAACUUUAAACAUAAGUUUUAAGUUUGAAAGAUGCAAUUGCAUCACUCAAAGAUGAUCCCGCGUUGUAUUAGCUAGUUGGUGAGGUAAAGGCUCACCAAGGCGAUGAUACAUAGCCGACCUGAGAGGGUGAUCGGCCAGAUUGGGACUGGGACCCGGCCCAAACUCCUACGGGAGGCAGCAGUAGGGAAUCUUCGGCGAUGGACGAAAGUCUGACCGAGCAACGCCGCGUGAGUGAAGAAGGUUUUCGGAUCGUAAAACUCUGUUGGUAGAGAAGAACGUUGGUGAGAGUGGAAAGCUCAUCAAGUGACGGUAACUACCCAGAAAGGGACGGCUAACUACGUG
RNAcentral lists this ribosomal RNA (497 nucleotides) under uncultured bacterium. RNAcentral describes it as "partial 16S ribosomal RNA". It matches the Rfam family "Bacterial small subunit ribosomal RNA", at positions 28 to 507 of the family's 1533-position model. The record is from RNAcentral.